AGUGGUCGACGAGUGGCGGACGGGUGAGUAACGCGUAGGAAUCUACCUAGUAGUGGGGGAUAGCCAAGGGAAACUUUGGGUAAUACCGCAUACGAUCUAAGGAUGAAAGGGGGCCUCUCUUUGAAGCUCUCGCUAUUAGAUGAGCCUGCGUAAGAUUAGCUUGUUGGUGGGGUAAUGGCCCACCAAGGCGACGAUCUUUAGCUGGUCUGANAGGAUGAUCANUCACACUGGAACUGAGACACGGUCCAGACUCCUACGGGAGGCANCAGUCGGGAAUAUUGGACAAUGGGGGAAACCCUGAUCCAGCCAUGCCGCGUGUGUGAAGAAGGCCCUAGGGUUGUAAAGCACUUUUANUAGUGAGGAAGGCUCAGUAGUUAAUACCUACUGGGAUUGACGUUAGCUACAGAAAAAGCACCGGCUAAUUUCGUGCCAGCAGCCGCGGUAAUACGAAAGGUGCAAGCGUUAAUCGGAAUUACUGGNCGUAAAGCGCGCGUAGGCGGCUUGGUAAGUUGGAUGUGAAAGCCCCGGGCUCAACCUGGGAACUGCAUCCAAAACUGCCUAGCUAGAGUAUGGUANAGGAUGGCGGAAUUUCCUGUGUAGCGGUGAAAUGCGUAGAUAUAGGAAGGAACAUCAGUGGCGAAGGCGGCCAUCUGGACCAAUACUGACGC
This 668-nucleotide ribosomal RNA is filed under the name Gammaproteobacteria bacterium. RNAcentral describes it as "bacterial SSU rRNA". It matches the Rfam family "Bacterial small subunit ribosomal RNA", at positions 83 to 746 of the family's 1533-position model. Lineage: Bacteria; Pseudomonadati; Pseudomonadota; Gammaproteobacteria. The record is from RNAcentral.